ACAUACAUACAUACAUACACAGACACACAUGCACACAUGUAUGUAUAGCAGUAAGAAUAUAUUCCUGCAUAUAUAAAUAAGAGAUACGUAGGACACUUCAACAGUUGAUCCUCGAUAAUCUACCGCUAAACAACAACAAUGAGACUUUCUACUUUACAUCCUCUUUUAAGCAAAUACACAAGCGAGUAUGCAAGAACACAGGCAUAAGGUCAAUUAUCAGACAAACUCACAGCAAACCCAGGAGAGAGAGGAGAAGUCUCUAAGUCACUAAAAAGGUCGGAAAUGAUGACGAAAAAACAACUGAUUGGUUGUUUAUCCAGCAUUACAAACAAACAAUCGAUUAGUUAGCUGACCAGAUGUUUAACCAAUUGAUUAACAAUAACGAAGUGGCAUUGAACUAGUUUGUCUUUUUACUUGUGUUGGUCACUGCUUACUGCCAGUUCGAUUCCUGUGAUUGCUUUGAUGUACAGCAAACACUUACCAAAAUAAAAGAAAUUCUAGAGAAUGGAAUUGGGGAUAAACUUAAAAAGUUCUUCAAACUCAAGUUGAUCCUUUUCCCGGAAAGUGGGAAGUUUGAAAUCGAUGGAACACCGCUGGUAAUUACCUUCUUUGCAGACAACUGUGAACUGAAGAUUAUUGGAAAACGAAGUCCAUUUGAAAUGAGAUGUCCAGCUGAUGUGACUGAAAUCACUACACUAACUAGACGUCAUUGUGUAAAGUCAAGUCCGAAAAGCGCCGUGGAGUGUGCUACCAAAUUGGUACUCGAAGAAAUACAGAAGAAUAUUGAAACUGGCAAAAAUCCCCGGCGUAUAACAUAGAUUCACACACACGAAGUGUUAUAUAUAUAUAUAUAUAAUUUUUUAGAAAAACAUAAAUCCGGAGAAGAAGCACACUUUAAGAAGUAGAGCAGUCUAUAUUAAUUACGGGUGCAGGUCGGUUUAUAGGCUUAUCUUGGGUUUAUCGGGUUACCCUGGAGAUAAUUCCCAUUGAUUAUAUCCGUAUCGUUUCCCUCUCCAUACUUUAAAGAGACCAUGGGCCAACAGGUUUUAGAGUCAGAAGAUACGCUAUAAAGGUACUCUUUAUGGCAAGAAACUCAAGAUAACCCUAUAAACCGGCCUACACCAGUAAUUAAUAUAUAUAUAUAUAUAUUAUAUAUAUAUAUAUAUAUAUAUAUAUAUGUAUAUAAUAUAGUAUAUAUAUAUGUAUAUAUA
Molecule: RNA transcript, 1211 nt
Organism: Octopus sinensis (East Asian common octopus)
Lineage: Eukaryota; Metazoa; Mollusca; Cephalopoda; Octopoda; Octopodidae
Exons: 5
Source: RefSeq, a predicted model, not a curated record